This 96-nucleotide microRNA precursor is filed under the name Bombyx mori (domestic silkworm). Its description in RNAcentral is "microRNA bmo-mir-2772a precursor (bmo-mir-2772a-1)". The stretch from base 6 to 91 matches the Rfam family "mir-2772 microRNA precursor family". The record is from miRBase by way of RNAcentral. Lineage: Eukaryota; Metazoa; Arthropoda; Insecta; Lepidoptera; Bombycidae.
UUCUUUGCCUUAUCUCCAAACUCAAAGUGGUACCAGCAGUGUGGAUGGUCAUCUGGUCGUUGCCGUGUUUGAGUUCUGGACCUGGAGCGUAUGUGG